UUCCCCCUCCUUUUUGUUUGUUUUUUUUCUUCCCCUUUUUUUGCCUAAACGAUGCCAACUGACGAUCCCGUGGUGGUAGUGCUGUAGCAACCUUUCCCCCACGGGCAGUCCCCGGGAAACCUUUAAGUCUUUGGGUUCCGGGGGAAGUAUGGUUGCAAAGCUGAAACUUAAAGGAAUUGACGGAAGGGCACCACCAGGGAGUGGAGCCUGCGGCUUAAUUUGACUCAACACGGGAAAACUCACCCGGGCCGGACACUAUGAGGAUUGACAGAUUGAUAGCUCUUUCUUGAUUUGGUGGUUGGUGGUGCAUGGCCGUUCUUAGUUGGUGGAGCGAUUUGUCUGGUUAAUUCCGAUAACGAACGAGACUCCAGCCUGCUAAUUAGUGCGUUUGUCCACUGCACCUGUGUAGGCGGCGUUGGACGAGGCUGCUACCGUGGGCGAUAGGGUUAGUAGGCGGGCGCCCGGGCCAACUGGUAGACCUCUACUGGUUCGGCCUUGUCCGUCUGCUAGCUGGUACGCCUUAGUUGGCUGGUCAAUUGGCUAGCUAGCUGGGAGUUGGCGUCUGCGGUGGGCUGGUCAGUCUGGUGUUAGCCUCCGGGUGCGGCGCGAAUGCCUACUUCUUAGAGGGACAAGCGGGAGAAGCCGCACGAAAUAGAGCAAUAACAGGUCUGUGAUGCCCUUAGAUGUCCGGGGCCGCACGCGCGCUACAAUGACGGUGUCAACGAGUCAGACCUUCUGGCCUGAAAGGGUUGGGUAAACUGGUCAAUCACCGUCGUGACAGGGAUCGGGGCUUGGAAUUGUUCCCCGUGAACGAGGAAUUCCUAGUAAGUGCAAGUCAUAAGCUUGCGCUGAUUACGUCCCUGCCCUUUGUACACACCGCCCGUCGCUACUACCGAUUGAAUGGUUUAGUGAGGUCCUUGGAUUGGCGCCUUUGUGGUAGUCCCCCAAAAGGUGGCCGCCCGAACAAGUGGCUGAAAAAAACAACCGAACUUUGAUCAUUUUAAAGGAAGUAAAAGUCUACAGCGUUUGGGAUGUGAGAGAGAGAAAAAAAAAAAGAAGAACCAAAGCGC
This 1070-nucleotide ribosomal RNA is filed under the name Hymenolepis diminuta. RNAcentral describes it as "SSU rRNA". It matches the Rfam family "Eukaryotic small subunit ribosomal RNA", at positions 997 to 1831 of the family's 1831-position model. The record is from RNAcentral. Lineage: Eukaryota; Metazoa; Platyhelminthes; Cestoda; Cyclophyllidea; Hymenolepididae.